This 876-nucleotide ribosomal RNA is filed under the name Tubeufia hainanensis. Its description in RNAcentral is "Tubeufia sp. JM-2023b partial large subunit ribosomal RNA". It matches the Rfam family "Eukaryotic large subunit ribosomal RNA", at positions 51 to 952 of the family's 3401-position model. The record is from RNAcentral. Lineage: Eukaryota; Fungi; Ascomycota; Dothideomycetes; Tubeufiales; Tubeufiaceae.
CGGAGGAAAAGAAACCAACAGGGAUUGCCUCAGUAACGGCGAGUGAAGCGGCAAUAGCUCAAAUUUGAAAUCUGCUCUUUGAGCCGAAUUGUAAUUUGUAGAGGAUGCUUCGGCUUACGUUUCGGUCUAAGUUCCUUGGAACAGGACGUCACAGAGGGUGAGAAUCCCGUUUGUGGCCGAGACUUCCGCCAUGUGAAGCUCCUUCGACGAGUCGAGUUGUUUGGGAAUGCAGCUCUAAAUGGGAGGUAUAUUUCUUCUAAAGCUAAAUACCGGCCAGAGACCGAUAGCGCACAAGUAGAGUGAUCGAAAGAUGAAAAGCACUUUGGAAAGAGAGUUAAAAAGUACGUGAAAUUGUUGAAAGGGAAGCGCUUGCGACCAGACUUGCCCGCGGAUGCUCAACCGGUCCUUCGGCCGGUGCACUCUUCCGCGGUCAGGCCAGCAUCAGUUCGAGUAGUCAGAUAAAGGCUUAGGGAAUGUGGCUCUCUUCGGGGAGUGUUAUAGCCCUUUGUGCAAUAUGGCUCACUUGGACUGAGGCCCGCGCUUCGGCUAGGAUGCUGGCGUAAUGGUCGUAAGCGGCCCGUCUUGAAACACGGACCAAGGAGUCUAACAUCUAUGCGAGUGUUUGGGUGUCAAACCCGUGCGCGAAAUGAAAGUGAACGGAGGUGGGAACCUUAGGGUGCACCAUCGACCGAUCCUGAUGUCUUCGGAUGGAUUUGAGUAAGAGCAUAGCUGUUGGGACCCGAAAGAUGGUGAACUAUGCCUGAAUAGGGUGAAGCCAGAGGAAACUCUGGUGGAGGCUCGCAGCGGUUCUGACGUGCAAAUCGAUCGUCAAAUUUGGGUAUAGGGGCGAAAGACUAAUCGAACCAUCUAGUAGCU